GGACUUAGGCUAAUUUAAACCAAGGGCCUUCAAAGCCCUAAAUAAGAGACAUUCUCUUAGCCCCUGA
Molecule: transfer RNA, 67 nt
Filed under: Diporiphora australis
Lineage: Eukaryota; Metazoa; Chordata; Lepidosauria; Squamata; Agamidae
Description: tRNA-Trp
Source: RNAcentral